Molecule: ribosomal RNA, 513 nt
Filed under: uncultured bacterium
Lineage: Bacteria
Description: partial 16S ribosomal RNA
Rfam family: Bacterial small subunit ribosomal RNA
Source: RNAcentral
GACGAACGCUGGCGGCAUGCCUAAUACAUGCAAGUCGAGCGAACAGAUGAAGUGCUUGCACUUCUGACGUUAGCGGCGAACGGGUGAGUAACACGUAAGGAAUCUACCUAUAAGCGGGGGAUAACAUUCGGAAACGGGUGCUAAUACCGCAUAAUAUCUUCUUCCGCAUGGAAGAAGAUUGAAAGACGGCUCUGCUGUCACUUAUAGAUGACCUUGCGGUGCAUUAGUUAGUUGGUGGGGUAAUGGCCUACCAAGACGAUGAUGCAUAGCCGACCUGAGAGGGUGAGCGGCCACAUUGGGACUGAGACACGGCCCAAACUCCUACGGGAGGCAGCAGUAGGGAAUCUUCCGCAAUGGGCGAAAGCCUGACGGAGCAAUGCCGCGUGAGUGAAGAAGGCCUUCGGGUCGUAAAACUCUGUUAUAAGAGAAGAACAAACUGUAGAGUAACUGCUACAGUCUUGACGGUAUCUUAUCAGAAAGCCACGGCUAACUACGUGCCAGCCGCCGCUGUAA